RNAcentral lists this transfer RNA (72 nucleotides) under Ovis aries (sheep). It matches the Rfam family "tRNA". Rfam says of the family: Transfer RNA (tRNA) molecules are approximately 80 nucleotides in length. Their secondary structure includes four short double-helical elements and three loops (D, anti-codon, and T loops). The record is from Rfam by way of RNAcentral. Lineage: Eukaryota; Metazoa; Chordata; Mammalia; Artiodactyla; Bovidae.
GCAUUGGUGGAAUAGUGGUAAGCAUAGCUGCCUUUCAAGCAGUUGACCCGGAUUCAAUUCCCAGCCAACGCA